AAGCAGGAUUCAGACUACAACAUGGCUGUAAAGUGCUGUGGUGUCAUUCCUCCUGCUCAAAAUAAGCUUUUUUUUUUUUUUUUUUUUGUCUUUUUCAUUUUUAUUGGUACCAGGGAUCGAACUCACAACC
RNAcentral lists this small nucleolar RNA (130 nucleotides) under Cavia porcellus (domestic guinea pig). RNAcentral's name for it is "Small nucleolar RNA SNORA63 (ENSCPOG00000018211.3)". The record is from RNAcentral. Lineage: Eukaryota; Metazoa; Chordata; Mammalia; Rodentia; Caviidae.